This 218-nucleotide long non-coding RNA is filed under the name Lathyrus oleraceus (garden pea). Its description in RNAcentral is "Pisum sativum (pea) long non-coding RNA (PSAT_LNC012125)". Lineage: Eukaryota; Viridiplantae; Streptophyta; Magnoliopsida; Fabales; Fabaceae. The record is from RNAcentral.
AAGUUGUAGAUAUUUUCAAGACAAUAAAAAUGGACUUACAUUUUGCAUCAUUUGAAUUUUGGAUGAAGAAGUUAUGGGCACUUGAAGUUGGACUUUUUUGACUUUCAACGCAUUUGGUCCAAAGUGACCUAUAAUGUUUUGCCUUAUCACAUGUAUUUCUUUUGAGAUUUUGAAAUUUUGUUAAACAUAACAUUUGAGUUAGACAUCUUAAGAUUUCC